RNAcentral lists this long non-coding RNA (32759 nucleotides) under Gallus gallus (chicken). The record is from RNAcentral. Lineage: Eukaryota; Metazoa; Chordata; Aves; Galliformes; Phasianidae.
CGCACGCGCUGGGCAGCGCCUGGAUCAGGUGAGGCGCGCGCAGGAGCACGAGCGGCAGCCGUUGGGACAGCCCUUGUGCGCGCGCCUGCGGGCAGAUGGAUGGGACUUGAGGGGGGUGGGAGGCGCGCGCACCGUCGCGCGGGGCACCUGAAUGCGGCGCAGGGGGGAGCGCAGCGGGCUGGGUGUGGCGGGAGGGUGCGGAGCGCUCCGCUGCUGCCUUCGGGUGAGUCUGCAGCAGAGCGCCUCGCGGGGGCGGGAAGGAGAGAGAGAGCGGGGGCUGCUGUGCGGAGUGCCGCCUCGGGAGCGGGCAGCGCGAGGGAAACUCCUCGCCCCGUUCGUGAGCCGAAGGGACCGCUUUGCGCUAGCGAGAAGCGGGUGUUCCUGGCUCGUAACCAUCCCCUCGUCGUGGUGAGAGCGCUACCGCCGGUUGAUACUGAAUCAACUCCACGAGGUGUGUGGGCAGCUGCCUUGCUUUGUAAACAUAGUUGCAACCUCGCUAAGAACGCCGUGAGGCUUCGGCAGCUGCGUGUGUGAGGGCUGCGCAGCGCUGGAGCCCGGUAAACGUGUCUGCCUCACAGGUGUGCAAAAGGCCGAGUGCCGGGCGUUGGUUGGGAGGGGUUCCAAACUCUGAAGGGAAUAAAACUACUCUGUAUGCACUGCGUCAUCAUCCAAGGAACAUCCCUCGGUGUUUGGCGCUCUGUCGGCACGGUUCUGCGGUUGUGCCGGUGGUGACGGGGGGCACAGAGCUCCGUCUGUGAGCUGAUGGCGGUUUUACCUCAGCGGGGACCGCGUGGUGGCGGAGUCACCGUCCCUGGAGGUGUUCAGGAGCCGUUUAAAUGUUGCACUGAGGGAUGUGGUUUGGUAAAGAAAUACUGCUGGUAAGUGGGUUAGGUGGGCUUGGAGGUCUUUUCCAACCGUGGUGAUUCUCUGAUUCCGGCAAGUUGCCUUUCAGUGGAAAAUAAACACUCAUGAGGUUGGAUCUAUUCCCAUGCUACUUAAUGGCAAUCCCUUUCCAAAGGGCCUGGUGUUUCAAACUGGGAUGAGAAGGAGAGGAAGCCAUUUUAAUCUUCACGGGUUACGUAUGCAACUACUACGGAGUAACUACAACAGUGUGCAACUACUAUGGAAUGCUUCCGCUGCCACCAUUCCAUAAUGUUUAUGGUUGAUCUUCCACAUUAAAUGUAUGCUAACUUACAACUGAUUUUAUUUUGAUAAGAUAUUUCAGACGAAUGCAGCAGGACUUAGAGGUAAAACCAGUGUACUUUUGAAACUGAUGGAACGUUAUCCAGCUAACAGUGGAAAAAUAUGUAGCUUUUGAACAGAUAGGUAGCAGAGGGGGCCAUGAUAUUAAAUUGUGUGGGAGAACAGUACGAUCUUAAGGAAAGCAUUGUCCUCUCCCAUGUGUAGGGAACCCAUCCGAUUUUUGUCAGCAUAGAGUCUUAAGUGAAAGCACAGUACCUGCAGAAUCACCUGUCUUCCUAGGUGAGAGAUACAAUUCAUGAGAGCUUUGGUUUUCAGCCCAGACUUCUGCUACCAAAUCAGACUAACAGUACAGGUAACUUUUGGCCACGCCAACUGUAAGAAAGACUUCUAUCUUGCUUGGGUUGUUGAGAAACUUUUUGGUGUUUGACUUACGUGGUUCUCUAAUUCCACUGGGACUUUGUUCUGGAACAGAUGAUACGUGUUACUCUGAAGCAGGUAAGAUGCCUCUUGCCCAGAGGAAACUGGGAAACACCAAAUUAAAGCUUUCCUAGUAAAAUGCUGUAUUUGUGGUUGUGGAAACCUAUAGAUAUGGUCAGCUCUGUGCACAGACCUUUGAGCAAGAACUGUUCUGCAAGUGCCUGCAGAUAAGGCCAUCACAUUCUUCCUGAAAACAAGUGUUUUCGUUUGAGUUUCGCUGACAAAUCAAGUUUUAUUUGUCAGCCUUUGUUGAUUCAUCCUUACCCAUGAUUCAAAUCCAUCAUAUUGAAGUAGUUUUCAACACACAUAGUGGUGAUCACUAUGCAGAAGAGCAUAAAACAGUCCUUGCCAUUCCCUCCUACCCCUUCCCACUGUGAAAUAAAACUGUAUUAAAAAGAACCCCACAAAACAUAGAGGCCUUCGUUCUGUUCUUUUCUUUCUUUUUUUCUCCUUUUGUUCCUUCUUUCUAGCUUGUUGCCUUGUUUGAUUACUUUUUCUUAGGGUCACAGAGGAAGGUGUCUGCAAUACUUCUGCGUUAAGCUGCUUGCCCAGGAGUUCCCUGUUUUGUCUGUAAUUUACUGGAGUUGUGGGAGGGGAGGCCGUAUUACUGCAGGAGAGCAGAAGUAUACAAAAAGUCCAUUUAAUGGUGCAGCAUCUUAAGUGGAGAUCAAAGCAUGCGUUAGAAAUGUGGAGGGUACUUCAGCUCCUGGUUACUGCUAACAAGAUGGAUUAGAUGACCUCUCAAGAUUGUUUGCAUAGUAUACCAGGAUGACUGUUUAUUUGUUUUCUGCUUUUCCAAACACGGGGAAAAAUAAAAGUUCAGGUGUUCAAAUGUUGGGAUUUUUGACUUCUCUGCUUUUCCAAAGAGAAUGAGAGGGAGGAGAAUGAAAGAUCCCAAUUUAGAAAACAGGAACAGAACUACACAAACGCUGUGGAGAAAUAACUUAUUUCCAUUUGUCGUAGGAAGGGGUAUUUUCACUCAGCAGGAGAAGAUGGUAUAUAAAUCAUCAGGAGGAUAUAUGUUUUGAUAAAGAAACCAUGGUUAUUUGAAAAACAAAACAGAACUAAGUAAACCAAACCAACGGAAAGCUUUUCUUCUGGGUUUGCUUACUGUGCAUAGCUGUAGAAUGAGAAUAAUCCCACCUUUCUGCAAAAGGUGAUGUGUUACGGGAAGGCUAAAAGUGGUUCAAAAGGCUGCUGUGGAAUCUGUGCAGGAAAAAAUCCUAAAGGGUGUAUGAAAGGAACAUGCUGAGCACAGCCUAGGGAGGAAAAUAACAAGUAUGUGAAGAGAUUAUGCAAGGUAAAUAGCUCUUCUGGAUUGCCUUUCUUUCAAAGGUGAAGUGCUGCAUGAUAGCCUUGGUAUCUUUAAAAGUGAAGAACACACCCUGUUUGCACUGCUUGUCAGUUUUCAGGGCUGCUGAAGGCCUCUGCCUGCUCAGAAGAGACAGAACGUUUCAGCACUGUGUUUUUAUGAUUCUGUGAAUGUUUUCAUCGUGAUUUGUGAUAACUGCCUCAUACCUUCACAGUGCUCUUGAAAAAAUGGUCGUCUUCCCUGCGGAAAAACUACCCGUCUGUUUUUUUUUGUUUGUUUGUUUGUUUUUUUCCUCUAGAACUAAAAUUCGGCUGUUAACUUCACCUGGAGAAAAUCAUGCACUCAUCAUUGAGCUGUGGGAUAGGGAGAAGGCUGUAUAUUUGAAAGAGAGCAGAGGCUUUGAGGCACUUAUUUUAAAGGUGCUGACUCGUUCUGUGUCAAAGGCAGGUGAUCUCUAGGAGUGCUCUGCCUUAAUAUCCUCCAGGAGGUUCAGGGCUUGUCUGCCCAGUCUGUCUAAUCAUGAUGCUGGCUCCAGAUGGGUGGAAUUUUGGAGGACAGGUGGGUGGUAUUGGAUUUUUCCAAGGAACAGUUGAGGAGUUUAUUUUUCUGUUGUAAAUACCUAAAUAAUAAGAAAGCAGAGACAGCGUUAGUGUGAAUUAGUCUGAGCAGUGACAUGCAGCUUGACGCUGAAUGUUAAUGAAAGAUUAACAAGUCCAAUUGGCUGAGUUUGUUCUUUGUGCUCUUUCCUGAAUGUUUCUGAGAUAGAGGAAUGUAGAGAAAUUUUUAGUGGAUAAAUGUUUGGAAUCUUUUCCUGUGGGUCUAAAUAUUAAUGUACAGUAGGAGGCACUGUUUUAAUGUAAAUAUUUUCCAUCAGAUGGCAGAAUGAUGCUUUGUACUUCUGCUUUUCUGAUCACAUUUUUUCUGGCUUUUCUAUACAUUUCCCAAGCACCUGGAAAAUAGGAUUAAAUGCACAUGCACAUUUGUGAAUUCAGUGGAGGGAUUCUAAGUCCAUGUUUUCUUAACUUUCACUUUAAAUUAUGGUUCAGUAGAAUUACAAAUAAUUUAUUGUCAAGAGCAUACAAAUGACUUUCCUGAGACACGAGCAAGCGUUCUGUAUGAGACUGAGUAUCUUGAAGGUGGUAGAAGUGUAUGACAGAUGUUCUGGGAAUUUUUCUGGUUUUUAAAAUUCAAACAAACAAAACCCUCAUGUAUGUACUUUCUUAUGAAGGAUGAAACCAAACUAAGUUGCAUUGUCCCACAGUAAGGAUUUCAGUGCUGUGUCUCUCAAAGGCAGAUGUUUCUGUCCUGAAGCUGAUAAAGAAAGGUGCACCAUGUGGUUAUUUACAGUAUGGGCUCGUAUCCAGGACACCAGAACAAGCUUCAUAGUAUGAACUUCAGAUGACCAUUUUCAGGCAUGGGCCAUAUCUUCAACACCAACAGAUUUACAGUAAGCACAGGAAUGAUUCUGCAGGGAAGGUUAAGAAAUACUUGAAUUGAAAGUCCUUCUGGGGAACAUAUGACAGAACACUUUGGACUUGUAUUUGAGACAUUUUUUCUUAGUUAAGGUGUGGUUUGGCUUCUUAUUAGCUCUUCUACUGUGUAUUUCUUCAAAUGUGGUGUUUGUCAUCACUAAUACAUCCUUACUUAUAAGACUUAUUCUUCCAAUAGGAAUGAGAAUCUUUAAGGGAUUAACUUUUUUUCCUAUUUCCAUUUUGAUUUCUUCUUGGUACGCUUCCUGAAUUUUGCCAACACUUAUCUAUAGUUUUUAAAGUAACAUAAAAAUCUACCUUUUGCUUGCAGUGUCAUUCUGCCUAGUUCAUUUUCUACAUGUAUCUGAAUGUAUCUUAAAGCAACAGAUUCUUAGGACUUAGUGGCUUUUGGUAAGACCUUGAGCCUACUGUAAUUUUAUCUACAUUUCAAAUUAUUGUGAUGCAAGUUUUCAAGUUGCAAGCAAAAACAACCAAGCUCUUAAUGUUAUAGUUGUUGCUUUUACUUCCUUUGAACUGCAGAUGAGUAUAAAAUAUGAAAUUAUUUAUUUAGCUGUUGAAGCCGUUAUGAACAUCUUACUUCUACGCUUUCAAUAUUUAAAACAUUACAGACUUUCUAGAUACAGCCACAUUAGCAUUGAGUGAGGGAAAGGAGUGGGAACAUUAUGCAUAUAGUUUAAUUUUUGUUCUUUGUGUCCUCAAAUGAAGGUAUAUGAGGAACAACUCAUGUAGAUUAUCUAACUAGGUUUUUUGAACCACUCUAGAAGAACUUACUAGUUCCUUGACUGUACAGGAAAUACACCAUGGAAGGAGAUGUGUGAACUGGUAUGUGAACUAGUACAUUGUGCAACAAGUCAUGGGUCAGUGUAAUUGAUCUGUAUGCAAGCUGCUGGGGUUUAAUUUGGUUUGAUAAUUCUUUGAGACUUUAACCAUUAACUCUUCAGUACUAAAGUCAGUAGCAUAAAUGCAGUGACCUUGUUGAUGCUGAAGAUUUGAACCAUCGCUAAUUGACUCAGUGGCAUUUUCUUGUGUUGAGAAGAACAGCACAAUCUAUGUCAAUCAAAAUCAUAUCAAUCAAUCAGAAGUAUAUAUGUAUAUAUACUUCUCUCUAUAUAUAUACUUCCUCUAUAUAUAUCUAUAUAGAGUGUGGCUUAGGCAAUACAAAUGUGUUUGCUGUGGGAAGUUUUGGGAUCACAAGUACUUUGUUAGCUUCAUGCAUUCCCAGCGAGCCUGCCAGGACAGUUAUAAACCAUUUGAGAUGAAGUAAAUCAAUAUUCUUUCUUACUAACAUAACUCCGAGGCAUCUCUUAUGAUGAAAUUUAUAUUUGAAAUUUCAGGAGUUUCUUUUGUCUAAUUAACUUUUUAAAAGAUAGCAACAUAAAAUUGAGCAUCUAUUUAUUCAUAACUGGGAAGGUACAGUAGUCUGAUGUUCUCCCCCCUAUCAAUCAGAGUAAAAAAGUUGAAAAGCUGAAAUUUCCUGAGAAAUGAGAAGUUGGAAAUUAUUUUUAAGACUGCUUUCCCCCACCCCUCUCUUGUCUUUCUCCAGACACCUCCAGUGUGUCUGCUUUCUGUCCAGAAAGGGGAAAUAACUGUUAUGCUUAUCUAACUGCAAACUAAAGUCAUUUGAAUCAGUUGCACUGAAUAUUAUUCAGCUGUUCUUAUCCAUUCUAAAAUGUUCUUAGUGAAGUGCACUUCAGGAGGUGGAAAGCAACAGUGAGGCUGUUGAACAGUCUUUCAGUGAAUUAAAUCUGAGUUACUGCUGUCUUCUUAAUGAUUUUGUUUUAUUUAGAAUAAAGAGACAUUUUAGUUGUACAGGAUCCUGUGCCAAGUGCAAAUUGACUUACUAGGAAAGGAAGUAACUGUUAGAUAUGUGCUUGACUUCUGACCCAAUGAUUUCUGAUGAUGGGGACUUCUAGAUUUGCCUUUCUGUAUAAGUGGUAGUAGCUAAAAUUGCAAGUGGAUAGUUUACUUUGAGCCCAUAAAGACUCAAACAGAAAAAUUAAUGUGGAUUCUGACUUUCUUUGUUCUUUAAUCACAGUGAACAUGUAAGAUCUUUAGUAUAUACGCUAUGGAGCUUGCAGUUGAAAUUGGUAUUUUGUCUUGUGUUGUUUCUAUGAUUUUUUGUUUUUUUAAGUACUAAAAAGCCAUGUGUAGCAGAAAUGCUAAGUCACAGCUUGAACCAGUGAUUGAGCACCUGGUGGGAAGGCAGGGCCAACCCAGGGGAGCUCAGGUGCAUGCAAUUCAGUGCAGUGCCCCCUAAGUGACCAGAGGGGUGGAGCCAGGAUCCACCCCUUCCCAGACCUCCUAAGGGUUGGCAGUGGAAGUAAGGCCAUCUUGCUGGAGAUCCCAAUGUACCAGAGGACUUCUAAAGGUAAGCAGUUACUUUUCCUUAUUUCUGUGCCUGCUGCUGUUGCGUUUGAGCGAAUCCUCACUUGUUGCAGCCUGGGAUCCUGCUGCUCUGCUGUCAUUGUUGUGCUUACUAUUGCAUUACACCAUGCUACCAAGGUCUCUGUAUGUUCUUUCUGUCUGACCCUGUUUAGUUGUAGGGUAUUUUGUUGCUAUCCAAAUCUCCUCCUUCAGGAAGGCAGAAAUUUGUCUUUCUGUGGCUGUGGGAGUUAGUGAAUCAUAACUGCAAUAGAGUUCAGUGGAGAUUGCUUGGUUUAACACCUGUUCAUAAUUUUCUUUCCAUAGAAGAACGCUUGCAAUUUUUUUUUGCAAUAAUACAUAAAGAACUUUAUUAAUACUUAAGGUACACGUGCUACAUGUUUGCAAAUGAGCUAUGUGCCUUGGCAUCUAAGGCACAUACCUCAAGAGAAAAGUGCUAGUUCUGUAUUCAGUUGGUAAAAUACAUCUUGCAUCGUGUAAGGUUUCCUAGAGGAAAGUUCAAGGUUGUGUAUGAUCUGUCAAUCUCCAUAGACUGGAGUUUUAAACUGGUUGUUGACGUUCUUCUGUUGGAAUUGUGUUACUUGUAGGAAAUAAUAAAAAGCAAGUUACUGCUGAUAAUAAGCUAAAUAUAGUUCCCAGGAGGUUAUAAAUGUAACAGCUCUGUUCCAUACACCUUCUAUCCUGCGUAGGUUUUUUAACUGUGGAGAUUCACAGGGCAGGCACACUUAAGGAAUGUUGAUUGCCAAGUCAGCAUACUGGUAAAGAACCUGUAGAUUUUGCUCAAGUCUUCAACUGAUCCUGCACAAUGCUGGAGAAAGAUGUUAAAAUGAAAUUUGCUUGAAUCCUUAUAUGGGGUUGAGAAUUUCUAUGAUUAUUUUGGGAUGUGACCUGUGUAGUCUGAUCUUGCAGACAAUUCUGAGAUGGCAAUAAAGAUGUAUGCAUAUGAAAAACCUCAUCUUGGUUCCUACAGCCAUGAACAGGACAUAAGAAAUGAACUGAGUGCUAGCCAUGAUAAAUAAUCAUACUGUGCAAAGUGUUCUCUGGAAGCGCGUUCUGACUAUCCAGUCACACACCUUAAAUCCAGCUGAGGUAGAAGUUGGGCCUAACUAAACCAAUAGUUUUGACUGGUGACACGAUGGGAAGAGUGUUUCAGGUUUUCUUUAAUUUGUCUGUGUCUUUGGUGUUUUGUUGUGUUAUUUAUUAGCUUGUUCUACCCCUCUCUACUGUGUUUUCUGCUUUCCUGUCAUUUUCUCUUCCUCCUCUGUUUUGCCAUGAUCUUGAAUUCCCUCUCAGUUUAAUCAAAGCAGAAGUCCCUUAAGAAUAUCAGGGAAAUUCAUGGCAGGGUAGAGAUGAGAACUUUAAUUAGGCUUCUUCUGAUGGAAAGGCUUCAGUGAGAGCCUGAUCUGUCUCAUUUGCCGCAGGAGGAAACUGGUGUUGUUACCUUUGGAUAGAGAAGGCAAGAGGCGGUACUAAAGAGAGUGCUGAUGUCACAGGGAACAUGGAAGAGCAAUAAAAGGAGACUAGAAAGGUGGCAGGCUUCAUUUUAUCCCCUGGUUAAGUAACAGCUUGUGCCUCAGUAGAAGCCUUCUAAUACCACCAUGUGAAUGUGGUGGCUGGUUUCUUAACCUGUCAUGACUUCACUUUUGGUUAAAUUAGAAUGGGUGAAUAGGUGUUAUCUGCUUUUGCCCGAGAAUUAGAGGGCAAGACUAAUUUUGUAAUCAUGGAGGAGUGCUGAGGAAACUAGCUGUUCAGCUGUUCUUUGUGCAAUACAAGAAGCGAGUAGUGAGCACUCUUUCCCAUUGUCUUGAGUGGUGUGUGCCAUACACCUCUAUCAGAGCAGCAAUACGUGUGUGUAUUUUGAGGAUGUGCACAGGAAUAAAUGAGUUAAAUGUCAGUGAUAUUUGCCAGCAGCGUGAUGUGGAAAUGCUGCCCACUGCAUCACACAGAUCUGCUACCAUCUGUUCACAAAGGUUUGCUGCGUUAAGAGGAGCAGAAAAUUGUAUAAUUUUCCGUAUGUUAAACUUGUGGCAAAACCUGCUUUUUUUCUCUCCAUGGAUAUUUAUUUCUUCUGAAAUCCAAGUCAAGUCUCUUUGUUCUUAAUAUUUAGAAAUUUCCAUGGGUGUUAUACAAGUAAGCCUCCUUUACUUAAGUUUGUAAACGCUGUUUUUUUCCCUAUAUCUGAUCAACAUUGUCUUUUUUUCUUUGAUUUGCUAUUCCCGUGAAUACAGAAACCCAGUAAUUAAUGUAAUAGGACCAACAGUCUGUUAUUUGGAUCAUAUGGUAUUUUUUAUAUCUUACUUGCAAUAAUUGAACCCUAAAAGGAUUGAUUUCAUGAUGAGCUUGUAGUUAUAGCUCUCAGAGUGUCUAUAUUUUGAUUUGCAGAGUUCAGCAGAUCAAUUAAAAUAAUUGCAGUUGCUGCCGUGUUUGUUACUGAUGGGUAUUUGCCAUCAUUCUUGGCCAAAUAACCUAUCCAAAACAAUUUUAUUUUAACAUUCACUGUUAUAGGAUUAUAGCCAACAAAGGCUGUACAGUGGACCAUCUGUAUAGGCCUCAGAUUACUAGCCUUUGGUAUCUGAUAGAAAACGUUAAGGUCAGCUGGUCUUAAAGACAAGUUUUUCCUAAUGGGACCAGCAAUGUAAUAGUAUGUGCGAGUAGGGCCACAUAUUCAACGUCAUGGACAGCUGUUUUCCCACCUGGAAAUAGCUCUUUGGGCAGCUGUGCCACAGUACUGAACUAUAAGAUGUGAAGUACAAUAUAUCGUGUCUAUAAACUGUAUUCUGAUGUUCAAAUGCUCUCCUGUUGUCUGUCUCAACACCUCAUUGUGACAUGUUAACCUAUUCUGGUGUUACCAGCUUUCACUUGGCUGAAGAAUCUGUCACUUUUGUUGAUGACAUCUUGGGGUGGGAUAGUGAUAGAACAGUAGCUGCUGUCUUUAACCUUCUGCCUCCCCUCUUUGGGGAUCCCUAGAGCAGGAGAUAUCCAGGCUGAAUUUCUUGUUCCCAGCUGCUAUGUGCCAAUAGCAACAGCAGAGAUGUGGUGGGGGUGCUCCACGUAGUGAGUUAGAUUAGCCUUGGAUUUGUUCUGCUUUGUGUCAAAGAUCCAGAGUAACCUUGGAAGGCUCAAGAGCAGCUGAGUGCUUGCCAUUAGUUUCUUGAACUGGGCUCAGUGCCAGCACAAAGAUUAAUUAUUCCCGUUAUGUAUUGGUCCUUAAAAUGGGAAAAAGAAAUAAAAAAAAAAUCAGCUUUGGAAAGGAGAGAUGGCUGCGUGUUAAAAUUGGCUUGAUUAUUUGCUCCUGCCAUGAUUAAGAAAUUCAGUAGAUACAAAUCAGAUACUUUGCAGUCUAGCUAUACUGUCAUUAAUUAUGGUUUAUACAGCUUAAUUUGAUGCUUGGGUGCUUAGACCUCUAGCACCAUUGUGAGGUCUCCAUCUGUGCAGUUGUUCUAAUGAUGUAAAGAAUUCCAAAUGUAGAAACUGAAAGUGACUGUUUUUCUAAGGGGGAAGACAGCUGACAGGAUUUAUGUAUUUUGCUCUGUAGAGUUUAAAUGUAGAAGUUAUGCUGGUAACUGCGCUUUUGUGCAGUCACUCUGUAGUUAGGCUGACCUGGCUAUAUAAUUUGUUUUUUUUUAACAGUAAAAUAAAUAUAUGCAGUAUACAAAAAAUUGCAAGUGCAUUGAGAAGAGAAGUCUGUAAUAUGGGUCUUUUUCUAAACUUUGGUCUGUUUACUGUUUCAUCUUUCGGAAAACAGCAGUUGAAUGUUGCUGACUUUUUCUCUAGUUUCCAGCUGAGAGCAACUGAACAGAUGGGAGUGGGAGAUAAAAUGACAAGCCAGCACAACCAGUGUGAUUCUUGUUGUAAAAAUUUUUAUUUAUUUAUUUUAAAUUUGGAAGAGAGCAUAUUUAGUGCAGAAGAAGCAGUAAAAACAUCUAAGCACCUUUUGAGUAUUGUUUGUCUGUGUGUCAAAACCUGCUUUAGUUGUCCCCUGGAUGUGAUAGAUGGGGAAAUAGUCUGUGCUACUAUACAUAGAAAGAGUUGCAUCCUUUAGGUAAUACAAAUGCUACAGAACUCUGCCAGAUGGCGUUAACUGUGAGAAAGUUCUGUGAUUCAUUGGGUAAAAUGAUUGUCAUGGCAACUGAUGUGCUUCAGAGUUGUUGGUCCUGUCAGCAGUAGCAACUACCAUUGGUUUCACCAGAUGUGACUCUGGACAUAAAGGGGAACUUCUCGUGGCAUUGAUUUCCAGCAUAGUUACUUUCACCAGUGAGGUGCAGUUGUAGAUUUUUUUUUUCUUUUUGCCUUUAAGUUCAUUUUGGAGUUCAGUAGACCUUAAAUUUGCCAUUAUGAAAAAACAGAAGCACCUGCUCAAAAAUAUCAGAAUGAUUCACAACAUUUUCCUUUAUCUUGUCCUUACCUUAACUUGAUCAAGGGAGAAAAUUAAUUUUCACUCCCAUUACAUUUUCUCCUCCACUUUUUGGAGUGUACAGUAGGAAGAUCAGUACAGAGAUAGGAUAUUUAGCAGAAGAAUCAAAAAGAAGGGGGGAGGCUGGGAGCAGUGCUGUGUUCUUGUCUGUAAGUAAUAUUUUUGGGAAAAGGUGUUUUCUGCAAAGUUAUUUUUGGGUGAUUUAUGCUAGCCAAACAGAUAUUCAUUUGUAUAACCUUGUUCUCAGCUAUGUUGCUCUUAAACAUUUACUGUUUGGUUUCCAGUUUAGUGUCACAAAGCGCAAAUCUGUCCCUCUUUGCUAGUAAUUAGUGAGGAGCAAUACUAUGAAAUAGCUUAGAAUAAUUGCCAAAGGAGUACUCUUAGCUGCCUUGGAAAAAUGACUGAGCAUCCUCAAAGGCCACAUCACACAACACUUUAUGUUCCAGGAAGAACACAUACUAGCAGAAUGGAUGUCUAGAGAGAGACAGCAUAAGCCUUCCAGACACUUUAAUAAGAUUUAAGUUAAAGAAAAUAUCUCCAGGGACAUGAAUGGUCACAAACCUUCUCCUCUCUCUCCCUGAAAAACUGAAUGAUAAAAGAAAAAAUAUGGAAUAUCCAAUUUACGUCGUCAGAAACACCUGUUUAGGAAUAGUGCCUCCUGUAACUAUAACUUGUCCUGGAUUGUGGACAAAUCUUUCUUAGUCUUGAAAGAGAGAUAAGAUCUUCAGCUUUGUCUUUUAGCGCAAAUCAGACUUACAAAUUUGUUUUAAAUUUCCAGAAAUGUGGGGUUGACAGACAUCAGAGAAUCUUUGGUUAUAAAACGAUUUUUCUCAUCACUAAUCUUUCUUUGUACUGUAAUCAUGAAAAGUGUAGUUAGAAAUGGCCCUGGUUAAUGCAAAUCAAUCCUAGUCUGCUGUCUUUGAGAAAACCUAUUUGUGCUUGUGUCAUUUAAGAAUCAUCCCCUAUCUCAUUAAAAUCCCAUUCAACUAUAUAACUCCUUAAUGUAUAUGUAUGUAUUUAUUCCUUUUAAUAAGAAUGUAAGAUAUUUUAAAAUGUUUUAUUAAUAAUUGGAUAGGAAAAAAUUGCAAGAUAAUCUUGCUAGCUUUCCUGCGCUUUAUUUUGACUAGGCUGCUUCUACUGAUGUUGUCUUGUCAGGUUCCUUAGAGUAACAUGGUGAAUAUUGUAGUUGCAUAGUUCUAGAAAGAGAGACACUAAUAAAUAUAUAUCUAUCACACACAGUAUAAAUACAUACAUAUGAUAUGUAGAUAAUGCAUAUGUUUUAUAUAUGAUCUUAUAGAAUUGCAUGUAAGAUGACAUCUGACAUCGUAAUUAGAUGACAGAAUAGUAGAGGAAAUGGAAAUUGUCAUUCUGUUGUCCAUUUAUACUGUCCUUUGGACAGUAUGAAGUUGUCACAAAGGGAAACCUUUAUUAAGUCAGCUGUGAUGACUUUGAAAUGUGAUAGAAGUUGAACCACUAAUGAUGAUAUAAGUCUUUAUACUGGGGGUAAUGCUAUUAGCAUAACAUUUUUGUAUUCCUUACCCUUAACGUAUUCUAACAGGAUUAUGGAGAAGUAAAAAAAUGCCUCAAUAAGGUAUAUUUUGUCAUGAAUGAUUGUUAGUGCAUCUUUUGCUAAGAAGUAAUUAGAAGAAUGUCAGCCAAACACUUGACGCUCUUCUGAUGAAAGAACAUCCUUUUAAUUCAAUUCAGGCUGAAGUAGAGUGAGCAUUGCUUGUGGGAAGAUAAUUUACUGGAGGCCAAAGGAGAGAACUGGUUUAUAGAGUCGUGCCUUUACACCUCACUUAUACAUCAACCAUAUAGUGAUAAAAAGGACUCUGAAAAGUUCUUGUCAGUGCUGGAUUUCAAUAUAAAUGAUGGCAAUGAUAACAAAAGGUCUGUUAGGUUUUUUUUUUCCCCCACUGUUAGGAGCAGACUUUUUUGUUCUGUUUGACCCCAACUAAUUAUGUUGGUCUGUUCUCUGAAUAGCAGCAGAGAAACAGCUGCUUUCCUGUAUUACUAUUCAAUGGCAGGAUUUCCUUGCUUGCUAAAUUGAAAUCUCUUCAGUUAGAUUUGAGUCAGGAAUAGUAUGGAAUCUUGGAAAAGCACACAGAACUCGUGAGAUUCUGUGCUCCCAUUUAUUAUUAUGCUUAAAUUUAGUGCUGGUCCUCAAAAUGUGGGUAUUUUAUGAAGGGUUAGAACUUGAGAUUUGUCCAAUCAUACUGAAAUAGUUCCACCUAAAAUAGAUGCAAAUGCUAGACUGUUGCUGACAUUUUUUUGUAAUGGAAUGCUAGUGACACCCAGUGGCUAUAUUUGAUUAUAUACAUCAUGAGGAUUAUUAGUCUUUUUUUUUUCCCUUGUAAAAACUGCACCUUGGAGAAACCAUGGUAAAACUACCUGAGAUUCAUGUAUAUUUUCCACGUAUAUGAUCUCUGUAUUCUUUAGGAUAACAAAUUUAAAUGUGCCUGAGAAAUGAGAAUGAAGAAAAGAAAAAAAAUUAAUGGUACUAACUUUAUCACAUAUUUAAUGACCACGGGGAAAGACUUAUUGCAAUGUGAGGAACGUUAUUCUCUUCAAGCUUCGUAGGGGAUGGUUUGGAUUCAAUUCCUUAUUUUUACAUAUACUUCAUGAAAUCGUAUAGUUCUAAUUACAGUGUUCGUCUGUAAGGUGGUACUAUUAGUGCUUUCCUACUUUUGAGAAUAAAUAUUCUGAAGCCCAGGGACAGUAUUUAUUUAUUUUUGUGUGAGUGUUUCUGUGCCAAUACCAUAACCAGGUACUGGAACUUGAGGACCUAAAUUUUGUUCUUUCUCACUGAGAAAGCAGAAUACAUCUUUCAGCAACAGGAGUAGAAAAUAUGAUUUUGUGGAGAAACCUGUUGAUAUUGAUUUUAAUCAGUAAAAAAAUCUUACUGCUGUUAGGGAAGUCUAUGAGACUUCCAUCAGAGGCAGACAUUUUACCAAGUACAGAAAGCUCAAGUUAUAUCUCCAUUUUAGAAGGAAAGCUUAGCUAGGAUGACUUAUGAGCUUUUCAUUGUUAUUGACUCUAUGAAUUUGUUCCAAACUUUUUUUGUGUUCAUUUCUUACAAUGAAAUCUCUACAUGUUUGCUUUGUUGUUGUUGUUGUUCUAGUAGUGUGCUAUUCUCUUUUCAGCAACUUCUAGGUGUAUCCUAUUAUCUGACAGAGCAGGACUGGACUGCGUUUUGUCAGCAUUUGCUUCUCAAGAGUUGGCACUGUUGUUAAGUGGCUGACUUUGAGUCUUGGGAUGAACAGUAAAAUUAACUUUCAUAAACCUGAAAAUAGUCGCUCAGCCAUCAGUGUUCCUCAAAGGAACUCUUAAGCAUGAACACAGAGAUUGUGCAGCUUGCUGUGAUCUGACUCUGCCAGUCAAGAUGGAGUAAGAAAAAUAAUGCUGGUAAACAAGGAGUCAGGUUCUUAAGUUACUUGCAAAGCUGUAAACAUAGUCUGUACUUUCUAAACAGCAUGAAGAGCAUUCUGUACUGAGAGAUGCAACAGGAUCUAUUCCUAUUAACUGAACAAUUUAGCAAUGCAAAAUUAAAAAGAUUAACUUAUAGUUCUUUCUGAAGUCUGGUAUGACUCAUUAUCAGUACUGACAGGAAGCCUUGUGGAGACUGGAAAUAGGAAAUGAAAUCUUGAAACAGGCUCCAUUUAACCCUUUUUUACGUAUAAAAUUCAGAGCAUAUAUUAAGUUAGGCUUUGAAGCUUGAUGGACAGUCGGUGCUAAGCCUCUAAAAACUCAUUAUCUUAGGCCUAUUCUGUUUUGUAAGCUCUUCCUGCUGUACAUACGCAAUGUAUUUUGUUGUGCUGCCAGAUAAAGUCAAGCUGGUAUAAGUUGAACUUGUGAAGAUGCAUGUGUAUGUGUGUUCCAGUGUGACAACAUUAAUAUAUCUGCGGUGAGACACAUCUCUUUUGCACUGACAUGGCCUUGGGCUACUGGCCUUUUAGCUUACACUCUUAGGUACAACAAGAAUUUUAGUGGAUGCAAUGGUGUCGUAUGAGACUCUUCUUCAAGGCAAGGGAUAAGUGAAUGGAAGAUCAAGUGAGAGAUCAAGUGUGACAAUGUCAUGGCAAGAUGAAGCAGCAGUGCUUCACAGUGACAGCUAUAGAACUUUUGUAGUGCAGCAUGACAUUCCUCAGUGUUACAAAAACAGUCUGUUCUGGUUGUCUACAAAUCCCAUCUGGUUUAGCGACAGGUCUUUCAAGGAAGGACUUUCUAAAUGACACAUCUGCCUCCUGCUGUUCACCUGACAUCACCAAAAAAAGCAUAUAAGUAUGUGGAGGCCCUUCAGGUCUGUGAGCUUAAAUAUUUUUGCCUCAUCUUGUGGAUGAGUACAGCAUUCUACCAAGAGGGUAUAGAUGCAACGCAGAGUUUGGACUGACCACUACUACUGGUUUAGAUAGCACAGAGUUUAAUUAUAGAUAAAAUGAUAUUGUUGGUCUGGCUGAUUGCAUGUGCAUUUUGCAAGUUUGAAUGAGAUUUUGAUCUUUAAAUAAGAGCCACCGGUACAAAAACAAAACAAAACAAAAACCCUCUCUUCUUCAAUCAGAAUUGAUGAGAGAAAUAUCAUUAAACUGAGGGAGUUCUUUUUGCUUUUGCAUAAAAACCAACAGCUGAGAAGUUAGGUGCACUUAAAGUUCUUGACUGGGAUCAGCUACUUGAAAAAAAAAUGAUGUGGUUAUGGAAGAUGUUAGGAGACUGAGUCUGCACCCACAUAAAUCAAUGGAAAAUAUAGGGGAACAGUGUGAAGAGGAGUAACUGCCAAGAAAAGUAGGCAUCUGCAACAGUGCCUCUGCAACAAUAAUUUUCUCUCUAAAGCAGUAUGUUUUGAAUAACUUUUCAUGAAGAGAUUUUGGCUUGUUUCAAGAGUUUUUUGGUAGACCCUAACAUUUUAAGUCUUAACUAAUGAGCACUCAGUAUAUAGUUUUUAAGAGUCUUGUAAUUUUUCUGGUGCAUGAGUCAGAUGCAGGCACUGGAGAGACAUCAGCAGAGAUGAGGUUGGUACUAAGGAUACUGUUCUCAAGUAGUUGUAUCUUUCUGUUGGUAUGUGUUUAUAAUUCCUUGUAGGUGUACAGGAGGAAUUACAGACAGUGUUUGUUUUUGGAUAGAGAAAAUGUCUGAAAAAUUUCAGUCCCAGAAUAAAUGUUUCCAUAAAUAAUGUAAACGAGGAAAAUAUGAUAUGUAAAUAGAACGGGUGGAGUUGUUCUUCUGGGUUUGAACCAGAAUAGUAUAGUCUUUUCAAGUUCACUCGAAAUCUAAACAGCUGUUUGAUUUGCUCUUGAAUAAAAUAUUUACAUCUGCUAUUCCUUCCUUUGGAUGCGUGAGUCUAAAGUUAUUCAUAGAAUGUCCAUUCAAACAUUACUGUAAGGAGAAACAAGUGUACGGAAUGUGUACUGGGUGCCUUUCAUUUGAAACUCUUUUUCUUCUCAUCCUUCUGAUUUGAGAAUUGUAAAUUAUACUAUAAAGGGGCAAGUCAGUAAACAAUUGUACAAUAGUAAAUGAGAUUGAAUGAGAAGCAUCAAUUCUUGAUCAACACAUUGACGUGUGUAGUCAUGCAGAUAUAUAUUCAUGGCUCACAAUUCAUCUUUGCUCACGUUAAUAAUGUUCAACAUAGAUAACUUAGAAAAAGAAGAAUGGGCUAAACUUAGCCAAGGUUUAUUUAUUAAAAAUAAUAGUAACUCUAGUUUCAAAUGAAUCAAAGCUGUUUCCAAACACUACCACUUUGAGAGACUGCUGAAGCAUUUCUUUGAAGUAUUUUUCUACCUUAAAUGUAUAUUUCUCAAAUGGAAUCAGCAUGAUAACAUUGCAAAAUUAAAGGCUAAUACUUUUCAAAAUUUAUAUAGACAUUUACAAAGUACAGCAGUAAAUUCUAAGUAAAUAUGCAAGAGGUAAAAUUAAAAAAUAAAAGUUAACCCUUAAGGUUCAUAGGUGAAGUAGUUCUGAAGGGAGGGGUAAGGAGAGGAGAAUAAAAUACAUAAAAUCCCCAAGCUGUUCGUGCAUACAUAAUCUCCUACUGAAGUUAAUAAUUAUACAUUGUACUCUACUGCUGGUUUCUAGUUCUGAACUUCUUCUGUGCGUGAUAUGAAGAAAUAUAGGAGAUCUGGCCAGGUGCAUAGUCAACAAUUUACUCAGAAUGGGAGUGGAAGCUGAGUGCAGAAGUGCCUUGAAGGAAAAAAUAUUUCCAGUUUUGUAAUUGUACCAUAGGAAGCAGAAUGAUAGCACUUGAAGGUAACAUUAUACACAUUCUUGUAUUAAAUAACAUAGAUUCAGGAAAUAUGUCUUAUUUGUAUUGUACCUUAAAAUAUUUGCCAAAACUGUUGCAAAGCACAUAGGAGGGAAUCUGUUAGGUUAGCAUAUUUUGUGGCAUGUUCUAACAUGCUUGUAACUGAUGGCUAUUUUCUGUUCUCCAGAAAAAGAACCUUUGGAAAAAAUAGCCUGCAUCGAAGCAGCACUCUUCUAAUUUAGCGAUCAUCUAGUAUUGUUCAAGAUAAAAUCCUUAAUCCUUAAAGAAGAGGUCAUUUACAGGAAAUGUUCUGAUUACCUGGGAGUAGAUCUGUGCUAUUUAUGCAGUCUGAAAAGGGUUGGUUUGAGGGGAAAGAUACAGGAUGUUGCAUUUUUUUUCUUUUUUUUUUUAAUUUGAAAAAUAUGGAGCAGGAUAAACGUGGAAUAGUUAUCAGAAAAAUGAAAUCUGAACUAAGGAAGCUUUGGUAGUGCAUGUGUUGGUUUUUUUUGUCAUUCUUUUUUAAAGAAGUGCUAUACAUCAUGGGUGGGUAAGUAAAUAUUCCAUGAAGGUAAAAAUAGAAUCAUAGAAUAUAGGGAUCCACAAGGAUUCAGCCCAGCUUCAGGUUCUGGACGAGAAUACCUACCAUCAAACCCAAUGUCUGAGAGCAGUGUCCAAAUCCUUAUUGAAGUCUGGCAGGCUUGGUGCUGGCCACCCUAUUGAUGAAGAACUUUUUUCUAAUCCCCAAAGUGAACUUUACAAUGGAAUGCACAAGAACAUCAGUUCUUGGUGUAGUAAGAUAGCCCAGCAGCCAAAAAGACCUUAAUGUUUGUGGCAAUAGAGGAAGAAGUUAUGGCUUGACCAAUUCCUGAUACAUGCUUUCCAUUUCUCUGCUCAUCAGUGCUUACAUUCUGUCUUCACAUAUUUGUUUUUGGGAGUGGCAAGGAAAUGAAACUAAUGAAAUUAGUACUGCUGCUUUGAAUACAUCUCAUCUUAUAAAAAAAAAAAUUAAAAAACAAAAUGUUAGGUAAGUGUUGCUGGCAGACAUGGUCAAUGUAGUGAAUUGUUAAGAAAUGUAGGUAAUGAUUAGAAUUAUCCUGUUGCCCAAGAAUAUGUAAAUAUCCUUUUUGUUGUUGUUGUUCUUGAGUUUAUUUGCAUUUCAGUCAAGGAUGUAUGGCAGCUAAUGCUUAAAAUGUUAAAAUACUUAAAAUGUUUAACGAGUUUGGAUUCCCAGUCGAUACCUUAUUUGAGCAAAACUGCACUAACCUUGUUUGAAAGAAAAGCCUGAAGACCGACUAUAGCAACAUCUUUUAUGAUCACAUUUAAAGUGGCAGAAAGCACUGGAUUCUCUUAGAAUACUUACAUUACAACCAAAGUUCUAAAGUCCAAAGUGCUGCAGAGAAAUUAACCAGUUGGGAUUCUCUCUGAAACAGCUUUGCAGAAGUAUCCCCUACUCAGAGGUUUCUGGUUUUAUCGCUGAUUGUGCAGCUGUGUGUGAAACAUGCAGAGUAAUUUGUUUCCUGUUCCUCUCUGGUUUGGCUUCUUUUGCAUAUUUGUGUUGAUGUUAUAUCCACUUUCAGAUCUUCUGCAUUAUUCAUUAUGAUCUGCUACUUAUUUAGUCUGAUUUGAAUGAGUACCUGAAUAUCUUUUGCUAUUGUUUCUUGUUUUCAGUCAUUAGUCAUAUAUCCUAAAUUCAUUAGUCUUAAACUCAUCCUUAAGAAACAUUGCCUAGAUUGAGAAAGAAAUAGCUUCAAAGAUGCUGACGCUUUCAGAUUUGCAGGACUUUUACACUUAUCUUAUGUACUACCUACCUGUUCAGGAUGCUCUUGUUUAUCAGAGAGCUGUUUUCAAGAGUGUUCUGUUGCCCUGCGUGAAUCAGUCACUUAUAAGGGAGAACCUGUGAUGUGGUCAGAUUUUAAAACGUAGUUUUGUAGUGUAUAAGCAUUUUUCCUUAUAGGAAAAGCUGUAAGAUAAGCUUUUUCCCUCUAGUUUGGAGAUGAGGUCAGGAUUGCUGUGCUAAAUACUAAUCGGCAUUUGUCUGAAGGAUUAUACUAAUUUACUGCUGUGAUUGUGGUGAGAUAGGUUGAAGCAUUGACAUGGGAUAGCUAGCCCAUACUGCUGAGGUGUUAGUGUGCUUGCUGCCAUGGUUGAUGCCAGCUGACACUCACCCAGAUGAUACCAGUGUGCAGGGCAUAGCACAAGUAGGUGCUGUUCCCAAAAGGAAGCAGUGAAAGAGCUACUCAUCUUUAAUAACAGAGUUUGGCAGUAUGAAUACAGACUUCUUCAUGCACUAGAAUGAUAUGGAAUGAGUAAUGGAUUCUUUUGAAGAGUUUGGUUCUAAAAGUAUAUUGGUUUCAUUUGUACUAAAAAUGUUUGCAUUAAAGUAAUACUGUGUGUAGAUGAAAAGUUAUCCUAAACAGACAACUGUUCAAAGUACAGGAUGUUAAUAAUGUUAAUAGCAGUGCUGCUGUCUUUUCCUCACGUAGAAUCAAAUUCUCAUUUUUGAUUCUAAUUCUAAUGUGGGAUGAACUGGUUUUGAUAUCUACAAAUGUGGCGAUUUUUAUCUGGCCAUUCAAAUACACUUGAAUUGAAAGUUCAAGCUCCUCAGGCAUCCUCUAGGUCCAAAGACCUGUGAUUGUCACAAGAGUUUUGUUGAUGGGGCUGGAAUUUGCAUACACCUUGUUUUUGUUAAAGGUAGACAAUAUUGAGAACAGAAAAAAAUUACAGUUUUAGAAUCAUACUUCAAAGUAUUUACCUCUCAGGUUAAUAGGAACACAAACAGUAGCAAGAUACCUCUGCUAUGUUACUGUUAUACAGCCAGCUGAGAUAAACAACUGCAUGUGUGCAAAACAAAGAAGUUAGAGUACUGUAGAGCUAGGAAGAUAGUAGAUACUUAUUUUCAAAAAAGAAAGUACAACACAGGAGGUGUUUGAAUUAGUCCUUGCUGAUUGAAAGCAAUUCUCAGGAUUUCAUGAGGUACUACUUUUCUACUUAAUAAGCUUUUUUUUUUUGACUUGACAGUAGGCUACCAUUUUGCAAAAAUCAUUGCAGUUUGUUCUCUUCAUAAAAUGGGUUCAAUCAUGAUGCAAUUAAGAUAACUAAAUUGAAGAAUGUCAUCCCAAAGCAUGUGAUGUAGCUAUUAAACAAAAUAAGUGCCACGUUGAAGGAAUUGCUUUUUGAUGUGUUGUUUAUUCUUUCUGAUUAUUCUUUGUGCAAACUGAAUGCAGUGAUUGCUGUGCAUAUAGGAGUUGAACUGAUGACUUGAAUGAAAUUUUGCUAAUUGCUUCUUGGAAACAUUGGAGUAUUUGAGGGUGGACAGGUAGCCAGCCCAAACUCAUUCUCUGCCGGUUGCGUUUCAGCAGCAAACAGUUCUGGCAAUGUAAGUGUGUUCCUGUCUGUGCGUAUUUCCUCUGCAUGGAAGUUCAUUUGCACACGCUUACCGUAGAACCUCUGAACUCCAACAUGCUAGUGAAACUUCUCUGCAAUUUUGAACAAUGGAAGAAGUUAUGCUAGGUGUGAAAUAUUUGUACAGAACGUCUAAUUCCAUCAGUUCAUCUUAAUAGAUUGUCUUCUCCACAUUAGCUUGGUUACUUGCUUCACUCUGUUACUGAUGCCAAUCAUCAGUUUGCACUUAAGCUUUAAUUUCAGUAUCACUAGAAACUGAAAUUAGGAGUUUAUCUUCUAUGUAUCUAUGUGCAGAAGUUCGUAGGAAGUAAUUGCAUGCUCAUCAUUUUUCUCCACUUUGAGAAACAAUGGACUUCCAGAACUUUGUACACAUUCAGAAUUCCUUCCCUGUUUUCUGGAGGAAAAAAAGUAACUGAAAGGAGGCAAUCUGUUUAUUUAUCAUGAACAUUUUUGAAGUUGCCGUCGACUCUGGCAUUUAACAAGUAGCUGUGAUGAUUCAUUGACUUCAGAUAGCAAGUCACUCACUAAAAAAUGAAGCUCCUAUCCAAAGAGAAAUAUAAUAAAUAAUUGAGGCAAUACAGCAUUCAUUAUAAAGGCUGUGAGCUGUGUUUAGGUUAAAGUCUUGACCUCUCUCAGCAGGAGGAGUCAGAGAAAUAUGUUGUAGUCAUACUUCAUCUUUAUGCAUUUUGGGAUUGUGUAAUAUGAUGGAUUUUCCAGCAGAGGGAGAAGUACACUGAAUUAUCAGGAACCAAGCUUAUAAUAUUGCAAAGCUGAAAAUCUGUAUUACUUUACUUAGAAGACAUACUUACUUCUUGCAACUGCUUUUCUUUACAAAUCUCAGUAUAUCCUUCCCUAAAAUUUGUUACCAGUAAUUUUUUCAUAAUCGUUGCUUUGGUAUUUUUUUUAAACAGUCAAGUUGAGUGGUUUUUCAUUUCCACUCUUUUCUCCCUUCCCUCCCCCCCCCCCCCCAACCAUAAUAAUUUGGUCUAAUGAGCUUCACUUUUCACUGAUUGUAUUGAUAUCUGUUCCUUAAUUCUUAAUUAAACUGUGUUAAUAUAUGCUUUAAGGGACAUAUGUAUGAUAACAUUGUUUGACUAGUCAUUAUCACAGUAAUCUGACAGCUGUAACAAGGAGGGAAAAAAAAGUAUUCUUUGUUAGAACAAAAUGUUAUUUCUCUAGAAUGUGAAUGCAGAAUACAGUAUACUCUGGAUAAAAUCUCUUGAUAUGCCAAACUUGGGUUAUACGUUUUGGUAUUGCUGUUACUUUACUGCCCACAGGUCUGUUCUCCUCUUUGCCUCUUGCUCAGGAAAGCAUGUUAGCCAUGUGCUGAUGGUUAGCAAUCUGCUGGUGGUGCAUGGUUUCAAGGAUUUUAAUCUGUGGAGCUACUGUGCAGUCGUUUAGGUGUUUUUUUUACAGACAAGAUUCGUGUCCCCCCACAAAGACUUUUAAGUAAUGGAAUGUUUUGUUGCAGAACAUGAUAAAUUUUGAUCAUUGCUGUCUCAGCAGUUUCAGCUUUGUUUUAAGAGACUCUGUCAGAGAGAGCAGGGGAGGGAGGGAGGGGGUGGUGGAAGCUGUUAAAGCUUUAGUGAGGCUGCUUUUAGUCUUUGUAACAAAAUUAACCAAUAUGGAAAUAAUUAUUUUGCAAUAACCAAGUCCUCUGUCCUUCUUGUGAAAGUGGCCCUGUUCAGCAGUGAAACUAACGGCACUGGGAAUAUUACUGGGUAACAGGUCCUCAGAGACCAAUUCAUGUAACACUGUCAAAUUACACAAUGUCAGUGCAAGGUAUUGAAGAAUACAUUACAAUGACAAAUUAGAUGUGCAAGGUCCUUUGAAUAAUGUAGCUCUGUUGAAGGUGGAAACUCAUUUCAGAGUAGCUCUUGGGACUUCACAGGCUAUCUGGGAUUUAUGAACAUAACAGGUAUUUUGCUUUUAGGAUCUGGGGAAGGGAAAGCUAGCUCUAUGGUUCAGCUCUUGUUCAUGUUAGAUGAAUUUGCUUGUUCCUACAAGAUAUCAAUAUAUCCCUCUGUCUCCCUUCUGCAGGGAAUUUGCAUAUGACAGUUGUUUAGGUAACUCUAACUCACAGAGCAAGAUUUGAAGAUUUAUUUUAUUUCAAUAAGGGGCUACUGCAGUUCUACCAGUAGAACUGAGGAUGUAUAGAAAAAGGCAGCUAUAAAUCUAAGCUUUGCUAGAAUGUUUCCUGUUGUAGCUGAUACUGAAUUUAGUUGCACUGAGCAGGUCCUGUGCUGAAAGGACAGACUGAAAACUUUCGUAAGCCUGCAAUACUGGGGGCUGAGACUGAGGAAAAUAGGAUAAAAAAGCUGGAUACAUAACAAGAUUUAAGACCCUCAUCUGAAAUGAUAGUUCUUAAAGCUCACUGCUUCCCAAGCUUGAAGGAAAUUCCUUCCCCCCCCCCCCCAGUAAUAUUUGUUAGGCAUCUUUGGCCAUGCUUUUGGUUCAGUACUGUUGAUAAAGUGAAGCAGCAUGGUCCCUCACUUCUGAGCCUAAUGUCAUACUACUAUUUUGGCCUUUGGAGCUUGUGUCCAUAUGUAUUCUCAGAAUACCCUUAGCAGGUAAUGUUUCUCAAUAUCUCAGAAUUAUCUUUGUAGAUAAGUUUCCCAGUGAGUUGACAUUUUCUACAAACAAGACAAACUAGGAAGAAACUAUGGUGGGAAACUUGAACAAUGACUCAUUUGUUGCAAAUGUGGAGUCUUAGGUUGUUAAUGUCUGAAAUAGGAUGAAGCUCUGGACAGUACAAAGGCUAAGAUGACUAAAUAUGCUUUGGUAGCUUUUUAAUUUGGGAAAGUACUCUGCCUGGUCCAUUUUCAAAGAAGGUGAUGUGCCACUGAGUAUUGUGAAUUCAGGUCUUCAGUAGCAAUUUUUAGUUUUUCUGAAAUGUUUGAGCAGUGGUUAUGAAGACUUUAUUUUUCAGAAGUCUUGUGGGAUUUGAAAGGGAGGGGCUUUUUUCAGUGAUUGAGAUCAGUGUAAAGUGAUAUGAUUAUUGUGUAGAGAUAACAGUUUUUUUCUUCCUUUUUUUAAAGCUUAGAUUCCAUAGUAAAUGAGCACAGAUUUGCUUUAGGAACAGUCAGUUUUAUAGACUUUACUUGCUCACACCUCGAACACAUCUGUGCCACUGAAACCUUAUGAACCUUAAGGUGAUCCUAUGAAGUUAUAAUUCAUCUGUGGUUCAUUUCACAAUAGAUCUGAGUGUCAGAAGAUUUAGCCUAUCAUGACCUGUGUUUGUACCCCUAAAAACAGGCCAGAUUGUAUGAUUUCUUGUUUGUUUUAAUGAAUAUUUCAUGAUGGACUAGUUUGGUUCAGUGGUUAGCAAACGGGUUGACAGUCAGACGGUGUGUUUUUACAUUGGUGAGUUCAUCACUGUGACAUCUGCAGUGGCAUUUGAAAAUGUAAAAGUAUUUGCUGAAAGCUGUCUGAAUUUUUAUAUGUUUGUUUCAGCAUUGUAAGAAUAUUGAUGAAAGGCAUUUCUUCACUUUCAUAUCUUGAUAGUCCUAUGAGCAGGAAUGCAAGAGCAUCUUUGAGUCAGUCAUCACUGCUGAACUGUGUAGUUCACUGUGAUCUUAACCCAGCAGCCACGAGGUUGACAGCUUACUCCUUCAGAAAGUUGUCAGCAAUGCUGAUGUGGCAGCAGCAGGGUGCCUUGGCUUAAGCCAAUAGAUAAAUGGAGAGUCCUUUUUCCUUCUUUUUCCACGUGGUGCAGAGGAAAGGAGGAGUACUAAGCAGCAUGAUACUAUUAAGCUCUAAAUGUCAAUUGGACCAAAUGAGAGAUGUUUAAAGCUUCUCUGAUGUAAUCACAAGCACGCACCAAGAUAACUGAGACCUGCCCCAGUUGAAACUGUGGCUGGUUGGCAUAGUUGAUCUUGGGUGGUGAGGAUGGACACUUAGUCUGACAGACCUUGGUGUAAGGCUGUGGUGGCAGCUCAGCACCAAUUCAUAACUGUUCCAACCUGGACACUCCACUUCUGCACGGUGACAGAUCUGUGCAUACCAGCUCAGUGCCCCCUUUCCCAUUUCCUCACAGGCAGCUACUGGCACAAGCUGCUGAUCAAAUCAGUUCAUGCUGAUAACAAUGGUGGAAGUUUCCAGCAGUUUCAGGUAUUGUUCUCCUGUCUCUCAUUAAGCUAUGUAUAUGGGGAUAUAUAAUUUUCACCUUGAUCUGCUCUGGCAGAUUGCAUUUUGAAAUCUUAGCUAAAAAGGUAUAAUGAACAUGUAAUCAAAUGUCCACCCAUCACAUAGAGUACUACUCGAGGGGUUAUAUUCAUCUCUUGCUUUCUCUUUCAUCAGGCAAUGCAAAGUUCUCUGUUACUGCCAGAGUGAUGGCUUACUGUCAGUACAGUCCUAUCACCUCAAUUCAAAUGAACUUCAAUGUGUUUAUUAGUGCUUUGUGCUUCCCCUGUGUUUAAACUGAUACAUAACUGAAUUCACAUGAAAUUCAUGUGAAUGAAAUGAAAUGCAUCCACAGCCACCUCCUUUUUAAAAUGCACACUAUCUGGUAUUUCUGUAAAUAAUCCCAGCAAUGGAUUUCCUUUUUACUAAUUUCUAGUCCUCCUUCCUCUGUGAAAGUAGAAGGCUGCCAGUGGGGAAAUGUGAAUGUGAAUGGCUUCUGUGACCAGUGCUGUUGGACAGAAAGGGCUGCCACACCAGCACCUUAGGCUGGCAGAUCAACAUAAGAGAAGGUAUUGGCAUCUAGCUUGUCCAGGAUUCCCUCUGGCAAUGCACAGCCUGGAUGAAAGCAGUAAGGUUGUGCAGGGCUAGAGGAUCACUUGAAAUCCAUGUUAUUUUAUUUGGAACUUAGCUUCUCUUUUUGUGUGUUGACUGAGUCCUUCAAGGCAGAACUGUGUAUGGACUGGAUAGGGUUUAUGUCAUGUGCUAAUCUUGAAAAAUUAUACUGUUUUAUGUAUUUAAUUAUAUGUAUUAUAUAUUGUUGUCCUAUUGCUGUUUGGCUUCUGGUCUGACUUUAUAGAUUUCUGGGUACUUAUUACCAGAACAGCCUAUUUUGGUAACCUUAAGUUACUGGAAUUGACUUGGACUACAGCUGUGUGGCAUCAGAGCUCAGGUCAGGAUAUGUGGCACUAAUAAAUGGGUUAAAUAGCAUUUCUUGCAAUAAUUCUGCACUUGCACUCAGGCACUUAAUGGUUGCAGAGACUGAGCUCUAGUUAUCCAUCAGCUUGCUACCUGUGCUGGCUGUAGCCUGAAUCAGCUCUACACCAUCUAGGAGUGGUUGUGGUUGAGGAGCUAGUUCCAAUACUGUUCUACCUGAUAUUUGCCAUCUGUGUGAGGUAAAACUACUUGAAACCAAGGUGAGUCUCGUGCUCAGUGGUUUUUAUUGCUGCUCUGAGCAGAGGAAAUUUCAUUAACUUGAAUUCAAGUUAGAUGGCUAUUUUGUAGUAAGGGAAAGAUUUGGUUUGUUUUAGUACACUGUAAAGAAAGGUCUAGCAAUUAGAAGAUUAUUUUUAAUAAUCCCCUUUUAAUAGGGGUGGGUUAUCAAGCUGGAAUCCUCAAAAAAAUAAUUAAGUUGAUGAGGAGAAUAACUAGGCAAGAUCACAGCGAUGAUGAAAGUUUUUACUGAAACAAAGAAAUUUGUAUCAGUUACGGUUGCAAGUUUUCUCUUAUGUGCACUGGAUUACCCCUGCUCAGUCUGUUUCUUCAUAUGUUUCAUGCUAUCUUCAGAAGCUGUGAGCAUGUUAUAUAUGGGAGAGAAGAAAAUGAGAUUUCAGAUGAACGUAACAUUAAAGAAAUUUUUUAUUCAUAUUUCUAUCACUGAUCUAACAGUUUCUGUUAGUGACCAAAUUAGAUCUAAUCAGUUGACCCAUGCAGUAUAUUUGCCAUUGAAAAUGCCCACACCUUGUGUAUGACCAGAGAAAGUUACGUUAACGUACCUUUUGAAGAAGCCAGUUGUUCUAAGUUUAGAUAGCCUGUGGAGUGUUAACUUACUCCUUGGCAAUUACUGCAAAACAAACUAUAAUAGUUUCCUGUUUCUGGGGGUGCCUAAUCCUUUUUCAGAUGAGGGGAAUAUCUCUGAAUGCAAUUGCCCUUUCUCUUGUCCCUCAGUGCUGAAAGAAUAGACAAGAAGGAAGUAAUAAACGGAGUGAAAAGCAUGUGAAAGAGAUGAAUAAAGAAGAUGAAAAAUGAGAAGUUUGCUUGUGACAAAUGCAUGGACUAGUUAUGUCAGUGCUCCAGCUCAUUUCUCACUGGCACCACAGAAAGAACAGUUCUCUUGUGGCUUUGAUUUUUCUCUUGUGCUUAUAUAAAGUUCAUAGGCUGGAUGCUUAACUAGUGUAAAUCAGUGCUGUGCUGCUUAAGAUAGGAGACAUGGAUGAGAAACUGUUCCAGGAGGAAUUAUUCUGAAGCCAUGUGCUGUAAGCAAGAUGAGAAUGAUAAUGUGUGCCUUUAUUUAACUCAGGUCCUUGAGCAGAGGAAUUGGUAACACAAGUAGUAUUGGUAGCAGUGCCUUCAGCACUCCUUGGCUUGAAAGAUAAAGCAAUCAAAAAAGCAAUAUUGUAUAAGUAAGAAGCAGGCAGUGAAUGGGGCAGAGCUGCUAAGUGAGGAACACCUUGAUGAAAGUGGUCAAUACCUUAAGGUAUCACAGUUGAUACAGAGGACCUGGACCUUGGGAAAGUGGGAAGUAUCUGGUGGUUUAAUACUGUUCUUAUUCCAAUGAUAUGGGCUCUCUGUACCAUCUGGUUCUUUGCCUCAGCAUUUGUAACGUGACCUGCUGUCAAAAAAUGUUUCCCUUGCAAUUACAUACCACAAAAUGGUUUCCAUAUAACAAGAUGUGUUUCAAGUGCACAUAAAGGGCUAACUGCCCAGUUUGAGUGUAUUUAAAUGAUCUUUCAUCUAUAAUUUAUGUACAUUGCUUUUGUCAGGUAUGUAUUGAUUACCAUUCUAUUGGAUGUCAGCUCACUCAGAGAUGCAUGAAGCAAGGCAGGGAGGUGGUCCUCCUAUUAGUGCUCUAUUAAGCUGCAAUGAUUUGUGGCUUUGCAUACUACAGAAGCUGUGUAAAGUCAUGAAUCUUGGGAAGAGAGCAGAUUGAUGCAGUAUGAAGUUUGUCCUUUCUUUGGAAACGCUUCUGUGUGAGCUGUGUGAGAACUGUUUUUACAUGUCAUAGCUGCACAGAUCUGUACUGGAAUAUUGCUCUCAGAACUCAGCUGAGAUGUAUACUUGUGUUACUAGAAGAUUAUAGAUGUGAGCAGUUACUCCACAGAGUUAGCAGAGAGCAGUAAAUCCCCAAAUCUGCCUAGGCAGCCUUAUGACCUAGAUCAAAUCUAUGAUCACUUUGUUUUUUGAAAGAGUCAUGACACGUAUACAAUUUUAUCUCCUCCUUCCCUGUUAGUCACAACAGGAGAAAUAAACGCUUCUUUUUUCUUUUUUUUCCUUUUUUCUUCUUUUUCCUUUUUUUUUUUUUUUCCUUCCCCAGUCAUACGCAGGGAAGGAGAAAUAUCCUCGAGGCAGCAUUUUUAAAGCUGGUGCAUCUUUAACAGUUAAAGGUGGUACUUAUUUCAGUAGUACUGGAAGGCUUAAAUCAGUAUCAGGGAUCAGAUGUGUGAAGCUUUGUAUAAACAUGAAGCAAAAUUGAGCUGAUAGUCUAAAUUUUUUAUAUUCUGGAUAGAAUUAAAAGUUGAUCUAGACUCUCUAAACAACAUUGACCAUCUGUUGCUAGCUGCUUAUGAUCAGUGUGUCCCCCUGUAUAGCUAUGACGGGCUACUGCAGAUAGCUUUCUCUGCAUUGUUCUGGGGAUACUUCUCAGGAACCAAGCUAAGCUCUGUUGGCUGUAAUACAGUUUUUUCUGUAGAAGCACUGUAGGUUCAGGAGCGCUAAAGGGGAAAGGCGAUGUUGUGAUGAACAUUCUGGAUGGUGCAGUAGCUAACCAUAUCUCAUUAUGCCUGGGUCACAAUGAUUUUGGCUCUUUCUAUAGUCCCUAACAAGCUAGACUGAGAUCUCUGAAGGAGCAUCAAGCAGUGUUUACAGUGGAAAGUUGCAGAGGUCAGCAGGAAGAGUUUUUGAAUGUGCUACUACAGUAAUGUUUCCUUGCAGAGUGGUGCUGUGGAUCUAUUGUGCUAUGUAGAAGUGCUGCCUGAAUUGGACUAGAAGUGCUGCUGUUCAGGACUGGAUUGUCCUUCCCAUGCAAGUAGAUCCUUAGCUUUCUGUUACUUCCUACUAAACUCCUCUAAGACUUUUCUGAGAGGCUCAGCUUGGCGAGUAAGAGAAACAGACCUGGUCAGGUACUGGUGAGCAUUUUGUGCCUUUCUACUGCUGAAAUACUUUCUAUUAUAGAAUCUGUAGUGCCAAAUCAUGCAGUUUUGUAGCUUUGCACAAUCAAAUUAUUUUGCCCCAAGACUUGAGUGCCAGACUGAAAAGAAAGGUUGAAUUAAAAGGAUUAGAAGAAUUUUUCAGAGAAGUAUCCAAAGGGAACAAAUACCACUGAUUAACUUAAUAGGUGAAUGACCAUCACUGUGCUGCAGAAACAUACCUCUAAAUGGGAUUCUCAGUGCAAGAAAUCUGAGGGAAGAAGUUUGACAAUGACAGAUGUUUCUGUGUAUGGUGUAUUUGUAGACAAUGAAACUGUUUUCUUCAUUUACUUGUCUGUUUGCUUAAAUGAAUUACCUAAGAAAAGGCAGGUGUUUUUAUUCAUUUUAUUCUUAUUUAUUAAUUUAUUAUUACUAUUUAUUAUUAUUUAUUAACUUAUUUAUGUUAUAGAUAUUCAAACUCAGGCAGACUGUUAUUUAAGAUGGAAUGGAAUCAGUUUGAGCUUUCUGUAGGGAAAAUUCCUGUUUUCCUUUGGUGUCAUUCUUGGUGUUUUUGAGACCCGCAUCAUUACUUGCAGCAUGCUUGCUAGAAAUAGUUUGCUGUUCAAGCUUUUGAUUCUCUUCUGUCUCUUGGCUCUGUGCCUCACACCGUGAGUAGAUCUUAUGGUCUGAUUUCCUGGUUUUUAAGUUUGCAAGUAUUGGCCUAUGCUGUAUGUACAGGUAGAUAACAUAUAAACUUGGAUUCUGCUUCUGUCAAAAAAUACAUAAUAAAACCUAUGUACUCUGGCACCAGAGGAAAACAGCAAACCAGUGCUUCUCUAAGACGAAGGGAUGUCUUGUAUCUGUGUUUCGGAAUGAUUAAAGGAAGGAGGUGUCCCAUGUGUCUUCACAUUGUCACAAAGUACAUGAAAACAGAAAGGCUGUUAGGCUAUUCUAGGUUUCUGUGUUAAGUCAAAAUCUGGCUUCCAAGUUUACAUUGUUUACUGCCUCUAGCCUUCCCUCUUCUAUAAGGAAGCAAAUAAUAUGCAUUAAUGUACUGGGGCACAUUACAAUUUCUUAAAUUUCAAUUUCGUUUACCUUAGCUGCUGAAUUAUUUCAGAGAGAGGUCGUCUUUAUAUCAAAUAUCUUUUUUUUUUUCUUCCCAGCUAUGGCUGGAAAUAUCUGUGUAAACUGAUCAAUGAUAUAUAAACUGUUUGUGGUAAACUACACUGAAGUAUCACUGCUUGUUACUGUGAUCAUAAAACCCUUUAUUUCAUGUCUGAACAGCUACUGGGACAAUUCACGUGAGAUCUACCAACAUAGAUCUUAUUUGUUGAAGAUCUGCCCUUUACUUUUGGUUGUACAUCUAUAGGUAGCUUUCCCUUUCAGGAUAGUCAAGCAAGUGGCUGGUGGAAAUUAAAGUUAAUAUUUUUUUGUCUCUUUUACCCUGAACUUUUGGGAUAUUGUACCUUGUUGUAAUUUGUGAAAAUUCAGUGAAUUUCCCAUUUCUGCCAUGUAAGUUUUAUUUGCAGCCCUCCUGAGCAAAAGAUGUAUGUUGAUAAUUUCUGGUAUUUCUGCACUGGUGGAUACUCCAGCUAAUGUUGCAAACAGACUUUCAUUAUAGCCCUCUUUUUAUCCUUCUCAACUCAUAUAUUUUUUGAAAAAUUCUGCUGUCUCAAAACUGCCAUCAUUAGUCUCAGCUCAAAAGUUUUGAGGAAGAUUUCAAUUAAAUGCAUCCAGCUAUUAUGCUAAUAGGAGGAGGAAAAAAAAUUCCAUCACCUUUGUUUUGCACAUAAUAGCUUGAAUAUAGUUACAUAUAUGCUUAAGCUGUGGCAAAAUAUGAGUUGCACAUGCAAAGCAGUGCCUUCUUUCAAAGAUUUAAGUUGUAUUUUCUUUCUAUCAUAAUAAUUAAAACUAAACUAACCUAAAAUUCUAUCAAGUUGUUUUCCCCGUAUUUCGGAAACAUGAGCAUACAAUGGCAAGUGGUUUCUUUAGCAUGGGUGGGUUAGACAGGCAGUCAGCUAUUUACCCAAUGGCUCUUAUCCACUGAUGAUUUUAACUCUUGAUGAUAAUUUAUCAGUGGGCACGUGAAAGCGCUCCUGUUUGAAUUUUAUUUAAAGCAGUAUGCUACUGCCAAUUAAAAUGUCUUUCUGUCUUUAAAUCACAUCAGUUUCAAAGAAUUACCUGCUAAUUCCUUCUCACGUCAAUAAUUAUUCCAAUCUUUUUGUGAAAAACGUUUCACUUUAGUAUUUCAUGGUAUCUUAUGUUGUAUUGGCAUAGAAGAUCACAUAUAUCUUAUUUCCGGAUAUGCCAGUAGAUAUGUCACAGGAGAAUUGUACCUUAUUAUAUGGUAUCAUGAUACCCUAUGUCCUAUUACUGACAUUUCCUGUCAGAGGAACAGAUAAACUGUUGCAUUUUUAAAUUUUAUUUUAUAAAAUUGUCACCAAUAUCUUCAAUUUAGUGCUCAUUGAAACACACUGCAAUUAAAAUCAAGAACUCGCAUUUGUAUUUGCAAUGAAAGAAUCUGAUAUUUUGAUAUUUAAUUGAGAAAUAGGAACUGAGCACUCAUGAACGACAAACAGAUGUGUCUUCCAAAAAUUCAUCAACUCAUAAUAUCCUAAAAUUUUAUGAGACAGCUAUUUUUCAGAAAAUGUUUCAAAAUGUGCUUGGAUAUUUCUUCUGCAGUAGCUUUUAUUUUCUGCAAUUAUUCUAGUUGGGAAAAUAGUUCUGACUUCUCCCUGCUGGGAAGAAGAAAAGUUAUUAACAACUCUUUUUACAGGACUAAGACAGAGAAAACAAAUGCUCUGUAGUUUGUUGGAAUUAUUUUACCCUUAAUAUGGCUACAGAAUUCAUAAUCGUCUUCAGACACUGAAUGCUCAGCUGAUGUUUACAGUGAAGAUCAUUCAUGUUUGAGUACCGGUCUGUGUUUUCUUUUUGUUUCAUGUUGUGGUCAGGCCUUAUCUUCCAUGAUGGCAAGACAUUUUUACUGAUCUUUUGCAUGUGUCUGACCAUGUUCUUACGUUCUAUCUUCUGUGCCCUAGAGUCAUUAUCAAAACUUUUCAAGUCAAUUGCAGUCCUUGGGGAAGUGGCUGCUAAAUGACAAUAAGUAUUAUUUAUCCGUCCUUUAUUCAGUGCCAGCUGUGCUUUUCCCCAGGACUUCCUGAAGAAGUCUGCCAAGUGGCAAAAGCAGUAUUAAGCAUGUUGAGAUUCACUGCUGCAAGUCUUGACAAAGCAGGGUUUUCCCCUUACUCUGCUGUCGCUACCCUGGGUGAGCCAGAGGGUACAGGGCUGCUGACUGACAAGGUAAACUUUCCCCUUGUGUUACCUACCUGUCAAAUGUUUCUCUGCUUGCUACACACAACCACUGGGUCACAUCCAUAAAAUAAAUGCAUGAAGUUCACCUUCUUUUUGUUUAAAAGAGAGGUGAUUGCUCCUCCCCAAUAGGCUUUGAGCUUCUGUCCAUAUAAAUAAUAAUUCUAUUAGCUCUGAGCACUUGCAUGUGCUUCUUCUUUUGCCUCAAGGCUAUAAGAAGCAAUGCUGCUGGUAGUAUCAUAUGUAUAUAGUUUCGGGGCUUGAUCUGUACAGUUUUUAAAGUUCCCUAAUGAAA